UAGGGAAUCUUCCGCAAUGGGCGAAAGCCUGACGGAGCAACGCCGCGUGAGUGAAGAAGGUCUUCGGAUCGUAAAACUCUGUUAUUAGGGAAGAACAAAUGUGUAAGUAACUAUGCACGUCUUGACGGUACCUAAUCAGAAAGCCACGGCUAACUACGUGCCAGCAGCCGCGGUAAUACGUAGGUGGCAAGCGUUAUCCGGAAUUAUUGGGCGUAAAGCGCGCGUAGGCGGUUUUUUAAGUCUGAUGUGAAAGCCCACGGCUCAACCGUGGAGGGUCAUUGGAAACUGGAAAACUUGAGUGCAGAAGAGGAAAGUGGAAUUCCAUGUGUAGCGGUGAAAUGCGCAGAGAUAUGGAGGAACACCAGUGGCGAAGGCGACUUUAUGGUCUGUAACUGACGCUGAUGUGCGAAAGCGUGGGGAUCAAACAGG
RNAcentral lists this ribosomal RNA (429 nucleotides) under Actinomycetes bacterium. RNAcentral's name for it is "Actinobacteria bacterium partial 16S ribosomal RNA". It matches the Rfam family "Bacterial small subunit ribosomal RNA", at positions 355 to 776 of the family's 1533-position model. The record is from RNAcentral. Lineage: Bacteria; Bacillati; Actinomycetota; Actinomycetes.